UCCAGAGGGUGCGAACGUUAAUCGGAAUUACUGGGCGUAAAGCGCACGUAGGUGGCGACGUAAGUCGGGUGUGAAAGCCCCGGGCUCAACCUGGGAAUUGCAUUCGAGACUGCAUUGCUGGAGUACGGAAGAGGAGGGCGGAAUUCCCGGUGUAGCGGUGAAAUGCGUAGAUAUCGGGAGGAACAUCAGUGGCGAAGGCGGCCCUCUGGUCCAGUACUGACACUCAAGUGCGAAAGCGUGGGGAGAAAACAGG
Molecule: ribosomal RNA, 253 nt
Filed under: uncultured bacterium
Lineage: Bacteria
Description: partial 16S ribosomal RNA
Rfam family: Bacterial small subunit ribosomal RNA
Source: RNAcentral